GAUGAACGCUGGCGGCGUGCCUAAUACAUGCAAGUCGAGCGAACAGAUAAGGAGCUUGCUCCUUUGACGUUAGCGGCGGACGGGUGAGUAACACGUGGGUAACCUACCUAUAAGACUGGGAUAACUUCGGGAAACCGGAGCUAAUACCGGAUAAUAUUUCGAACCGCAUGGUUCGAUAGUGGAAGAUGGUUUUGCUAUCACUUAUAGAUGGACCCGCGCCGUAUUAGCUAGUUGGUAAGGUAACGGCUUACCAAGGCGACGAUACGUAGCCGACUUGAGAGGGUGAUCGGCCACACUGGAACUGAGACACGGUCCAGACUCCUACGGGAGGCAGCAGUAGGGAAUCUUCCGCAAUGGGCGAAAGCCUGACGGAGCAACGCCGCGUGAGUGAUGAAGGUCUUCGGAUCGUAAAACUCUGUUAUUAGGGAAGAACAUACGUGUAAGUAACUGUGCACGUCUUGACGGUACCUAAUCAGAAAGCCACGGCUAACUACGUG
This 497-nucleotide ribosomal RNA is filed under the name uncultured bacterium. Its description in RNAcentral is "partial 16S ribosomal RNA". It matches the Rfam family "Bacterial small subunit ribosomal RNA", at positions 28 to 507 of the family's 1533-position model. The record is from RNAcentral.